GAUGAACGCUGGCGGCAUGCCUAAUACAUGCAAGUCGAACGAAAGGCUUCGGCCUUUAGUGGCGAACGGGUGAGUAACACGUAGAUAACCUGCCCUCAAGACUGGGAUAACCGAUGGAAACGUCCGCUAAUACCGGAUAGGUAAUCGAAAGGCAUCUUUCGAUUAUUAAAGAUGGGACACAUCGCUUGAGGAUGGAUCUGCGCUGCAUUAGCUAGUUGGUGGGUAACGGCCACCAAGGCGAUGAUGCAUAGCCGGCCUGAGAGGGUGAACGGCCACAUUGGGACUGAGACACGGCCCAGACUCCUACGGAGGCAGCAGUGGGAAUAUUGCACAAUGGGCGCAAGCCUGAUGCAGCAACGCCGCGUGAGGGAAGACGGUUUUCGGAUUGUAAACCUUUGCUUGGUNAAGAAGAAAGUGACGGUAGCCAAGG
Molecule: ribosomal RNA, 430 nt
Filed under: uncultured bacterium
Lineage: Bacteria
Description: bacterial SSU rRNA
Rfam family: Bacterial small subunit ribosomal RNA
Source: RNAcentral